AUUUUAAUAGCUUAAAUAAGAGUACAAUAUUGAAGAUAUUGUGGUGAUAUUAAUCUUAAAAUA
RNAcentral lists this transfer RNA (63 nucleotides) under Pselaphinae sp. 2 EF-2015. Its description in RNAcentral is "tRNA-Phe". Lineage: Eukaryota; Metazoa; Arthropoda; Insecta; Coleoptera; Staphylinidae. The record is from RNAcentral.